This is a non-coding RNA of Callithrix jacchus (white-tufted-ear marmoset), 5699 nucleotides long. The record is from RefSeq and is a predicted model, not a curated record. Lineage: Eukaryota; Metazoa; Chordata; Mammalia; Primates; Cebidae.
AAGUGAUAACCCGCUCCUUUCUGUGGAAAGAGAUAACAAAACCAUGUGGAGAAAAGACUCAUAUUUGCUAUCUAGUCAUUUCCAGAAGGGAAUUAAGAUUAGCAAAGGAAAUGGACUCACUUUGCUUGAUCAGAGGGAAUUAAAAGUCUGACGGAUAUCAAAAAGCUAAUCCAUCAUGAUCAAGCAGGCUUUAUCCCUGGGAUGCAAGGUCAUAUAAUGGGUAUACUUUUAUACCCAUUUCAUAUUGAAUGGGACUCUGAAGCAAGAUAUGCCAGGUUACUUGCCCAGGGUUAUAGUUUUUCAGAAGCAGACUUGGUAGCAAGACCUUGUUCAGCAUUUCUUCUCUUACACAGCAUUUCUACGAUCAAAAUCAGAUGAUUUAUGUGGCCAUGGAAUGAAAGGUGAGAUAGUACUUGCCAAUAUUAGAUGAUGUGACUCUCAGUUGUGACCCAAAAUGUCUAAUCUGUCUGAGCUUUUGAGGAAAAGCUGCAUAUGUGAAAUCACAGGUACUAUUUAGAUGGUGUUGAAAAGCUGCCCUUCUUGAGAUAGAUUCUUUAAUGCAAUUUUGUCAGCUUUCUCUCUCAAGAGAUCGAAAGUCUUUUUGCAACCCCACUUUUCUGCAUAAAGACUGAGGAGGAAAGAUAUUCAAGGCUUUUUCUUCAUGAAGUGAAUGAUGGAUAAUAAAGGCCGGGGGUGUAUUAAAAUAGGAUUGCAAUCUGAACUUUUAGUAGCUGCUCUCAAGUUUUGGAUAAGCAUCAAGUCUGUUCGUUUAAAUUCCUUUUAGAAUUUCAAUCUUCUUCCCCUAAGACAGGUUAUUAAAGCACAUUGGCUCUCAAAAUCCCAAAAGACCAGCAUCAAAAGGACAGUAAAAAGUAUAUAACACUUUCCCUACUUAUUUUAAUAAGCAGCUGCUUCAGAUGAAAAACUUGAAGAUAAAUAUAUUUUAAAAGUACUUCCAUAAAUGCAUGUUGGCAGGGUAUGUUAGAGUCCAUAAACAAGAUUAAAAAGUAAAUUUCUUUAGGCUCACAGAAAAUGAUCGAUCCCAAUUGGAAGCUUGGUCUACCAUUGGUUACCAUUUGAAUCCAGGUGCAGAUAUUUUGGCAACCAAUUGCAGAAUAAUCCAUUUAUAUGGAAUCUGCAAUCUACUUAAUUAGGAUUCUGGAAAAGUCAAAUGGAAAAGCCAAAACACUCUGCAUGUCUCUCCCAUUUACUCAGCAUCCUGGCUCAUGAGGCAAAGAAAUUCUUUGUCCUAGGAGUCUGGCUAAUUUAGAUUUAGCCAAUUAUCACUGGGACAAUCUCUGUUUCAUACUGGCUUUCAGGGAGUUUACACAGGUUGAUCGUUUUCCAUAUGUGGAUUUUCACAUAUUGUUCUUCCCUCCCAUGUAUCAAAUUUUAGCUGAUCUUUUGGAAUGAGGGAACGAAUAUUGUAAGUAACAGAAAUUUUUAAAUGUGUCUGUGACUUUUCCUUCUUUUCUUUUCUUUUGAGAUGGAGUUUCACUCUUGUUACCCAGGCUGGAGUCCAAUCUCGGCUCACCGCAACCUCCGCCUCCUGGGUUCAGGCCUCUCCUGCCUCAGCCUCCUGAGUAGCUGGGAUUACAGGCACACGCUACCAUGCCCAGCUAAGUUUUUUUUUUUUUUUUUGUAUUUUUAGUAGAGACGGGGUUUCACCAUGUUGACCAGGAUGGUCUCGAUCUCUUCACCUCGUGAUCCACCCGCCUCGGCCUCCCAAAGGGCUGGGAUUACAGGCUUGAGCCACCGUGCCUGGCCGACUUUUCCUUCUUAACCCAUUUAUGCCAGAGGUUGCAUAAUAUUUUGUGUGAAAAAUCAGACCUUGGCGGUGACCUUGAGCAGUAGGAUAUAAAUAACUCCCAGAAGCUUAGCAUUCCAAUAAUGGAACACUAGGCAUUUAAGCUGAAUUUUCUUCCUUAUGCUUAAUGAGAGAUUUAGAGAAAGAACAAGGGGAUCAACUAUGGCUGAAGCUGUAAGACGUAUGAGAGAAAAAAGAAGAUGAUAUCUACGUGUCAGUGUUGGUAAACCUCUGGCAUAGGGGAAAAUCAGUUGCAUCAUUAAAGGUUGUCCCUGUUUAUCUUCUAGUGGCCUGGCCCCAGGAACUACCGUGUGGCUCCUGUGCUCUACAUAUUAGCAAGAACUGUACCGUCAGGAUCAGGAACAAACUCAGCUGAGAUUGUGAGGUCAAAUGUGAGCAACAGUUGGUCACUAAGGUCAGAUCUGUCUGCUUUUAUGUAUCCCCUAAUACAAUGUGGAGACGGGAGUACCAUGAGAACUGGGCUUGAAUUCUGAACCCAGUACCUUCUGAGCACAGUGCCCUUAAGCUCCCUCACUGCAUAAUCUCGAGGAGUUACUUCACACCUCUUGACCACAUGUCCCUCAUUUGUAAAACUGGAUUUGAAACUAUCUACCUCAUAAGGUUACUGUGCAGAUUAAAUAACACAAUGUAGGCAAAAUUAUAAACACAGUGUCCAGUACCAGGAUAGAUCUAAGUAAAUGGCAGCUAAGUCUCAAAAAAAAAAAAGAUUACUCAUAGCUCUGUGCCCUGGAGAAAGCAGACCUUGUCCCUAGGAUGAAUGUCAGCUAUCUCUCAAGAUCUAUGUGAUAAUUAAAUGUACAUACAUUAUGUUACUAAAAUACAGUUUAUUAAAAUCCCCUAGUUAAAUGUCUGGCAUUUGGAUGGUGCUUAAUAAAUAUUAGCCUAAUGUGAACCUGUGCCCUCAACAUCGCUUCUUAUGAUUACAAUAAUGUGGCACUGAUUAACCAUAUGUGUACAAGAAAAUCUUUAAGACAAUUUUCCAUGAUAAUGAAACUUUAAAGUUUUAUUUUAUUACAUUUAAGAAACAUCUUAAGGGAAUUAAGUAACUAUAAAAUAGAUAAAGGAUAAAAUUAAAUAAGCUCUGCCACACGGUCAUGUCAGAUUUAUUUAAGGGUUCUGGAUAGCUUGAGCCCACUAGUGCCUCUUGAUAAAGUCAAAUAUGUAUGCUUUUAAUUUCCAGGUCAAUAAAGGUAACAAACGGUAAAAAUGGCUUUUGAGGGAAGACAAAGUAAAUUAAGAAAACUGGGGGAAUUAGCUUCUAGGGAAAUUGUUUGCCACUAUCUCAGCAUUAAAUCUUAAAAAAGAUAAAAUUAAUAGUAGGUUUUCUUUAUUUUUUUUUAUUAUCCUUUUAGUUUCCCUAAGUAUUUUCACCAAGGCUUGAGUUUUCACCACAACUAGGAAAGUUCAAAUUGUAUACUCUUUAAUCUACAGGCAUUCUUUUCACAAGUUCGCCUACGAUGUUGAGCUGGAAGUUAAAGAGCUGAGCUACUGUGAAGACAUUAAGAUGAAUAUAUUUAAUCUGGGCAUGGUGGCACGUGCUUGUAGUCCUCGCCGCUCAGCAGGCUGAGGUGGGUGGAUCACUUGAGCCCAGGAGUUCAAAGUUGCACUGAGCUAUGAUCGUGCCACUAUGCUCCAGUUUGGGUGACAGAGCAAGUCUCCAUCUCAAAAGAAAAAAAAAAAAAUAUGGGUAUAUUUUGCCACCAAUUUCACCAAAAUUUCUCUUCCAUACCCACCCAUCAUUACAUUUUGGAUGUGUCAUAGACAUUGUAAUGGGGAAACUUUCACAAAACUGUUUUUAUACAAACCCAAAACUACAGAAUUUUCCAGGUCUUAUGACAAUUCCAUUUUUUGAUUUUUGCAAGCAUUAUGCAGAAACUGCUAAAACAUAGGUUAAGACAAUAAAAGAAAACUAAAAUGAUGAGUCUCUUUCCCAAAACACUAUUACCAUAAGUGAUAAAAUGUCAACUGUGCUGGAAAAGGAUUCUCACAAAUGCAAGCCUGCGGGAUGCUACAGCAGAACUUGUACUUCCUUGUUUUACCAUUAGUUUAUGUUUAAACCUGCUUCACAAAGAGGGAAUGGCACACAAUAAAAAUAAAAUUGCAUAUAUUAUGACGUAGUUCAUGGAAGGUAAGUUAGAAUGAUCUUUUAUUUUCUAAUUUUCUUUUAAUAGGCUAAUUAUGAAAUACAUAUUGACUAUAAUAUGGGACCACAAGGGAUGCAAUCCAGAAAUUCUUUUGAAUGGUUAAAUUAGUGCAUAGCACUUAUUAAUAUAUUAGAAAAAUUAUGUAGAAAGAAAUGAUGUUAAAAUUCUAGUGACAACUAUGUUAGAGCAUCUAGAAGCCUCCUUAUGCUGUGAAUUACAUAAAGGUAUGGAAAUGGAAGCAUGGCUACUUCCAAUCACUAGGCUUGGUCUUACAGUUUCAUACCAGGAAAAAAGCCAACUUUAAGAUAAUAUAGACAGGAUGCACUUAGUGCCUGAGAAAGAAUUUACUCACCUUAGUCAUGCAUCUAUUAUUAAGCAUGUUCUCCUGGAACAGUCAACAAUAAAUCAAUAAAAUAUAUCCCUUCUGUUAACAUAGUGUCUACCCCUUUGAGGCUAUUUUCCUUACUUUUAUAAGUCAUCAUUUUUAGAGAAGUUUCUUUUUCCUCUGGAAGUAAAACUGACACCUGGUCAGAAAAUUUUCUUUGACCCUUUUCAAAAUAUUAAUAUGCCUUGAGUAUAUAGUCACUGUAAGGUUUACACAUUAGGCAAAUGAACACAGAUAUUAGAGGGGAAAUUUAUUUCUAAAGUUUGGAUUAAAUAGAAUUCUUACUUUUGUUCAUUCAAAAAGCAAUUUAACACUAUUUUAGAAAAACAAUACAUUUUCUAAUUUGUGUGUAUAUGUAUGUAUCCUACUUCAUUGCAAAUAACACAAUUCCUUUUUUUUAUUAUUAUACUUUAAGUUCUGGGAUACAUGUACAGAACAUGCAGGCUUGUUUCAUAGGUAUACAUGUGCCAUGGUGGUUUGCUGCACCCAUUAAUCCAUUGUCUACAUUAGCUAUUUCUCCUAAUGCUAUCCCACCCCCAGCCCUCCACUCUCCGACAGGCCCUGGUGUGUGAUGUUCUCCUCCCUCUGCCCAUUUGUUCUCAUUGUUCAACUCCCACGUACGAGUGAGAAUAUGCGGUGUUUGGUUUUCUGUUCCUGUGUUAGUUUGCUGAGAAUGAUGGUUUUUCUAGCUUCAUCCAUAUCCCUGCAAAGGACAUGAAUUCAUUCUUUUUUAUGGCUGUAUAGUAUUCCAUGGUGUAUAUGUAUCACUUUUUCUUUAUCCAGGCUAUCAUUGAUGGGCAUUUGAGUUGGUUCCAAGUCUUUUCUAUUGUGAAUAGUGCUGCAAUAAACAUAUGUGUGCAUGUACCUUUAUAGAAUGAUUUAUAAUCCUUUGGGUAUAUACCCAGUAAUGGGAUUGCUGGGUCAAAUGGUAUUUCUGGUUCUAGAUCCUUGAGGAAUCGCCACACUGCCUUCCACAAUGGUUGAACUAAUUUAUAAUCCUACCAACAGUGUAAAAGUGUUCCUAGGCCUCCACAUCCUCUCCAGAAUCUGCUGUUUCCUGAUUUUAAUGAUUGCCAUUCUAACUGGCAUGAGAUGGUAUCUCACUGUGGUUUUUAUUUGGAUUUCUCUAAUGAUCAGCGAUGAUGAGCUUUUUUUUCUUGUGUUUUUUGGCCACAUAAAUGUCUUUUGGUAAGUGUCUGUUCAUAUUCUUUGCCCACUUUUUUGAUGGGGUUAUUUUUUCUUGUAAAUUUGUUUAAGUUCCUUGUAGAUUCUGGAUAUUAGCCCUUUGUCAGAUGGAUAGAUUGCAAAAAAAUUUCUGUACAAUUCUUAAAAAACAGUGAAA